RNAcentral lists this ribosomal RNA (406 nucleotides) under uncultured bacterium. RNAcentral describes it as "partial 16S ribosomal RNA". It matches the Rfam family "Bacterial small subunit ribosomal RNA", at positions 30 to 526 of the family's 1533-position model. The record is from RNAcentral.
AUUGAACGCUGGCGGCAGGCUUAACACAUGCAAGUCGAGCGAGCGGCGGACGGGUGAGUAAUGUCUGGGAAAUUGCCUGAUGGAGGGGGAUAACUACUGGAAACGGUAGCUAAUACCGCAUACCAUCAGAUGUGCCCAGAUUGGUUUAGCUAGUAGGUGGGGUAAUGGCUCACCUAGGCGACUAUCCCUAGCUGGUCUGAGAGGAUGACCAGCCACCCUGGAACAGAGACACGGUCCAGACUCCUACGGGAGGCAGCAGUGGGGAAUAUUCCGCAAUGGGCGCAAGCCUGAUGCAGCCAUGCCGCGUGUGUGAAGAAGGUCUUCGGGUUGUAAAGCACUGUCAGCGGGGAGGCGUUACUCGCAGAAGAAGCAACGGCUAACUCCGUGCCAGCCGCCGCGGUAAUUC